This 444-nucleotide ribosomal RNA is filed under the name uncultured prokaryote. RNAcentral's name for it is "bacterial SSU rRNA". It matches the Rfam family "Bacterial small subunit ribosomal RNA", at positions 355 to 796 of the family's 1533-position model. The record is from RNAcentral.
UGAGGAAUAUUGGACAAUGGAGGCAACUCUGAUCCAGCCAUGCCGCGUGCAGGAAGACUGCCCUAUGGGUUGUAAACUGCUUUUAUAGAGGAAGAAACCGCCCGACGAGUCGGGCUCUGACGGUACUCUACGAAUAAGGAUCGGCUAACUCCGUGCCAGCAGCCGCGGUAAUACGGAGGAUCCAAGCGUUAUCCGGAAUCAUUGGGUUUAAAGGGUCCGUAGGCGGAUUUGUAAGUCAGUGGUGAAAGUUUGCGGCUCAACCGUAAAAUUGCCAUUGAUACUGCAAGUCUUGAAUCAUUAUGAAGUGGUUAGAAUGUGUAGUGUAGCGGUGAAAUGCAUAGAUAUUACACAGAAUACCGAUUGCGAAGGCAGAUCACUAAUAAUGUAUUGACGCUCAGGGACGAAAGCGUGAGUAGCGAACAGGAUUAGAUACCCCCGUAGUCC